UCCUACGGGAGGCAGCAGUGAGGGAUAUUGCACAAUGGGGGAAACCCUGAUGCAGCGACGCCGCGUGAGCGAUGAAGCCCUUCGGGGUGUAAAGCUCUUUCGGCGGGAACGAUUAUGAUGGUACCCGCAGAAGAAGCUGCGGCUAACUACGUGCCAGCAGCCGCGGUAAUA
This 171-nucleotide ribosomal RNA is filed under the name uncultured bacterium. Its description in RNAcentral is "partial 16S ribosomal RNA". It matches the Rfam family "Bacterial small subunit ribosomal RNA", at positions 337 to 525 of the family's 1533-position model. The record is from RNAcentral.